UGAGGAAUAUUGGUCAAUGGGCGCGAGCCUGAACCAGCCAAGUAGCGUGCAGGAUGACGGCCCUAUGGGUUGUAAACUGCUUUUAUGUGGGGAUAAAGUGAGCUACGUGUAGUUUAUUGCAGGUACCACAUGAAUAAGGACCGGCUAAUUCCGUGCCAGCAGCCGCGGUAAUACGGAAGGUCCAGGCGUUAUCCGGAUUUAUUGGGUUUAAAGGGAGCGUAGGCCGUGGAUUAAGCGUGUUGUGAAAUGUAGACGCUCAACGUCUGAAUUGCAGCGCGAACUGGUUCACUUGAGUAUGCGCAACGUAGGCGGAAUUCGUCGUGUAGCGGUGAAAUGCUUAGAUAUGACGAAGAACUCCGAUUGCGAAGGCAGCUUGCGGGAGCACAACUGACGCUGAAGCUCGAAGGUGCGGGUAUCAAACAGGAUUAGAUACCCUGGUAGUCCGCACAGUAAACGAUGGAUGCCCGUUGUUAGUUCACUUAGGAAUUAGCGACCAAGCGAAAGCAUUAAGCAUCCCACCUGGGGAGUACGCCGGCAACGGUG
RNAcentral lists this ribosomal RNA (543 nucleotides) under uncultured bacterium. RNAcentral's name for it is "bacterial SSU rRNA". It matches the Rfam family "Bacterial small subunit ribosomal RNA", at positions 355 to 896 of the family's 1533-position model. The record is from RNAcentral.